GACGAACGCUGGCGGCGUGCUUAACACAUGCAAGUCGAACGGAAAGGCCUCUUUCGGGGGGUACUCGAGUGGCGAACGGGUGAGUAACACGUGAGUAACCUGCCCUUGACUUUGGGAUAACUUCAGGAAACUGGGGCUAAUACCGGAUAGGAGCUCCUGCUGCAUGGUGGGGGUUGGAAAGUUUCGGCGGUUGGGGAUGGACUCGCGGCUUAUCAGCUUGUUGGUGGGGUAGUGGCUUACCAAGGCUUUGACGGGUAGCCGGCCUGAGAGGGUGACCGGCCACAUUGGGACUGAGAUACGGCCCAGACUCCUACGGGAGGCAGCAGUGGGGAAUAUUGCACAAUGGGUGGAAGCCUGAUGCAGCAACGCCGGGUGCGGGAGGACGGCCUUCGGGUUGUAAACCGCUUUCGCUCAUGACGAAGCUUUGUGUGACGGUAGUGGGUAAAGAAGCACCGGCUAACUACGUG
RNAcentral lists this ribosomal RNA (467 nucleotides) under uncultured bacterium. RNAcentral's name for it is "partial 16S ribosomal RNA". It matches the Rfam family "Bacterial small subunit ribosomal RNA", at positions 28 to 507 of the family's 1533-position model. The record is from RNAcentral.